This 443-nucleotide ribosomal RNA is filed under the name uncultured bacterium. Its description in RNAcentral is "partial 16S ribosomal RNA". It matches the Rfam family "Bacterial small subunit ribosomal RNA", at positions 338 to 795 of the family's 1533-position model. The record is from RNAcentral.
CCUACGGGCGGCAGCAGUGGGGAAUAUUGGGCAAUGGGCGCAAGCCUGACCCAGCAACGCCGCGUGAAGGAAGAAGGCUUUCGGGUUGUAAACUUCUUUUGUCAGGGACGAAGCAAGUGACGGUACCUGACGAAUAAGCCACGGCUAACUACGUGCCCGCAGCCGCGGUAAUACGUAGGUGGCAAGCGUUAUCCGGAUUUACUGGUGGUAAAGGGCGUGUAGUCGGGACUGCAAGUCAGAUGUGAAAACCACGGGCUCAACCUGUGGCCUGCAUUUGAAACUGUAGUUCUGGAGUACUGGAGAGGCAGACGGAAUUCCUAGGGUAGCGGUGAAAGGCGUAGAUAUUAGGAGGAACACCAGUGGCGAAGGCGGUCUGCUGGACAGCAACUGACGCUGAGGCGCGAAAGCGUGGGGAGCAAACAGGAUUAGAUACCCCUGUAGUC